GACGAACGCUGGCGGCGUGCUUAACACAUGCCAGUCGAACGGAAAGGCCCUGCUUUUGUGGGGUGCUCGAGUGGCGAACGGGUGAGUAACACGUGAGUAACCUGCCCUUGACUUUGGGAUAACUUCAGGAAACUGGGGCUAAUACCGGAUAGGAGCUCCUGCUGCAUGGUGGGGGUUGGAAAGUUUCGGCGGUUGGGGAUGGACUCGCGGCUUAUCAGCUUGUUGGUGGGGUAGUGGCUUACCAAGGCUUUGACGGGUAGCCGGCCUGAGAGGGUGACCGGCCACAUUGGGACUGAGAUACGGCCCAGACUCCUACGGGAGGUAGCAGUGGGGAAUAUUGCACAAUGGGCGGAAGCCUGAUGCAGCAACGCCGCGUGCGGGAUGACGGCCUUCGGGUUGUAAACCGCUUUCGCCUGUGACGAAGCGUGAGUGACGGUAAUGGGGAAAGAAGCACCGGCUAACUACGU
RNAcentral lists this ribosomal RNA (467 nucleotides) under uncultured bacterium. Its description in RNAcentral is "partial 16S ribosomal RNA". It matches the Rfam family "Bacterial small subunit ribosomal RNA", at positions 28 to 506 of the family's 1533-position model. The record is from RNAcentral.